ACAAUGGAGAGUUUGAUCCUGGCUCAGGACGAACGCUGGCGGCGGGCUUAACACAUGCAAGUCGAAGGAGAAGGUGGAAGCU
RNAcentral lists this ribosomal RNA (82 nucleotides) under Balneolaceae bacterium. RNAcentral's name for it is "partial 16S ribosomal RNA". It matches the Rfam family "Bacterial small subunit ribosomal RNA", at positions 1 to 82 of the family's 1533-position model. Lineage: Bacteria; Pseudomonadati; Balneolota; Balneolia; Balneolales; Balneolaceae. The record is from RNAcentral.